This 472-nucleotide ribosomal RNA is filed under the name Cylicocyclus insigne. Its description in RNAcentral is "partial large subunit ribosomal RNA". Lineage: Eukaryota; Metazoa; Nematoda; Chromadorea; Rhabditida; Strongylidae. The record is from RNAcentral.
UAAAUUAUGAUUUUUUUAUUAAUAGGUAUUGCAUAUCAUUUAAAGAAAAUUUUAUUUUUGAUAAAAUAUAAAAUUAAAAGGUAGAAUUUUUAUUAUUUUUAUUGUUUCAUAAUAAAAAUUAUAAAAUUUAGGAGUUGAAAAGUCGACUUUUAAGAUAUUUGUUUAGUAAAUAUUUAUUAGAAAUUUAUGUUGUUAAAAAAUUUUUAUAUAAAAAGUAUAAGUUGAAGUAUUUUUAGGAUUAGUUUUAUAACUGUUUAUAUAGAUAUUAAAAGUUGUUAGUAUAAGUAUAAAAUAAAGUUAUUAAAAUAAUAAUAACUUAAUUAUUUUAAAAUAAGUAAUUGUUUAAAAUUAUUUAAAAUUUUUAAAAUUAAUAAAAUAACUAAAAAAUUAAUCAAAUGUUUUUUAAAGACUUAGACUUUUCACAUAAAGUUUGCUUCUGCCCAAUGAAUAAUUUAAAUGGCACUCUUAGCGU